CUUAGCAGUCAGAGUGGCAGGAAUGUUGUGUUGUGCUGCUGUCUGCCUCAAAGUCGGAGUAUGUCAAUUUGUAAAUAGUUACAGGUAGGUAGCCGUGUUGGUCUGCCGUAGUCGAAAUAAAAGAAAAAAAUUCCUUCCAGUAGCACCUUAGAGACCAACUAAGUUAGUUAUUGGUAUGAGCUUUCAUGUGCAUGCACACUUCUUCAGAUACACUGAAACAAAAGUCACCUAGACCCUUAUAUAUAGUGAGAGGGUGGGGAGGGAUAUUACUCAGAAGGGAGGUGGGAAUGGGUGAUUGGCUCAUAGGGGUGGUAAACCUGUUGAGGACUGUUAACGACUGCAAUUGGUCUUAAAGGAAAAAGCAAGGGGUGAGAUGGCUAAAAAUAGCUUUAUCAUGUAUAAUGAGAUAAGAAUCCAAUGUCUCUAGUCAGACCAGGUUUCUCCAUGGUUUUAAGUUUGGUAAUAAGUUGCAAUUCAGCAACUUCUCUUUCCAGUCUAUUUCUGAAAUUCUUUUGUAAUAAGACAGAAUGUGCAGAAUGUCCUGGGAGAUUGAAGUUUUCUCCUACUGGUUCCUCUGUCUUGUGAUUCCUGAUUUAUGUCCAUUUAUCCUUUGGCGUAGGGUUUGGCCUGUUUGUUCAAUAUAGAGAGCUGAAGGGCACUCUUUCAAUUUGUAAAUGUUAGUUGGUCUGUAACAGUUUAAUCUAUGUAAAAUACUUUAGCAACUAAAAGAAACAUCCACCUGCAUUGUAUAUGUAUUUAAUCUGAAAGUGCAAGUAUAUUAAGUAAAAGUUAUAUGCUCUUUAAACUUUACAUGAGAGUGUCUUGUGUAGUUUAUAUAGGAGGGAAAAGAGAACUAAAGGGUCAAACAACCCAGGGCUGCCUUCUGCAUACUCUGCAGAUGGGAGCUACAGUCUAAUUUCCACACACUAUCCAUUAUGCAUUGUCACAUUUCUCCAAAAUAAAGGAAUUUGGGUAGUUUAGUCUGGAAAGGACUAUAAGAGGUUCUUUGAUAGCCCUUUGCAAAUGGCUAUCACAUAAGUGAGAGAGAAAAUUUGUUUUCGCUUACUCUGUAGGGAAGGUCCCAAACAAAAAAGCUCAAAUUACAAGAAAAGGAUGUUCAUCAAAACAGUAGGAUGAUCUUUCUGAUAGUACAAGCUGUUUAGACAGAGGAGCAAUCUUUCUGUUCUGCUGAUAGGAGUGUCAGCAGCUGGUGAUUAGUCUGCCAUUUCCCUCCCAGGAACCCCCUCUAGAUGUUUUGGAUGAUGACUUCUACCAGCCCCAGCUAGAUUUUACUUGCUCAUCUUACUUACAUUUGGGAUUUGUAAUUGAGCAGUAUAUUCAAAUGGGGUUUAGGAGUCCACCACCUCCAUCAUUUUUGUGCUGUGUUGAAUGUGGAAAACAAAACUGUAUGUUAUUGGUGUUGGAAUGGAAUGCUGAUUUAAAGAAACAGGUACAUUUUUCUGGAAGCAGAGGCUGUCAAGAGGGAGAAUAAUAAAACCCAAGAUGGCAGAAACACCGCUGAAUGUCUCUUUGAUUGUCGGUAUUAUGUAAAAAUUACUAGACAAGCAGCUGAUAGAAUUAAGAGCUGGGAUGUGUGGCAUGUUAAAGGAGAUUGGAUCAGAGAAAUGCCAGACUGAAGAAUCUACAGGACCUGUGGAAAAGGAUGGUGAUCCAGGACUGCUUGAACCUGAAAAAGUAAAGUCAAAAUGCACAGCAGCAGAUGUUGGAAUGGAGUGGACAUCAACAUAGCUGUCUGGAGAAUUUGAUCAGACAAAGGAUGCCAUUGUGCUGGAAGAGAAACAACCAGAGAUGGCAGAACACAUAAAUGAUGCUGUUGUGCCUCUGGAAGAAAUGAAUGGAAUUAUAACCAGAAACAUUAAUAAACAACUGUAGAUGGCAAAGCUGAGAGAGAAAUGCCCUUGUGUACAAGCUAAAGUAAACACAGAAGAAGCUCCCAAAAUUUUGGUGAUCGACUUGGGAAAAUAAUUGAAAAAAUGGGAGGAAAGUGACUUUUUCAUUUCUCUUUAAACCAGAAUACAGAAUCAUGGCCAACAGCAAAUCAGACUGGAAUAUAUGGAAUUGGGUAUGAAUCAAUGAAGAGAUAACAAAUAAUUAUGGACUAUCAUACUGUUGGGAUUUGUUUGAACCCUUGGAGAGAAACUCAUCAUACUGGAUUUGAAAAUGACUAUGCUUUAACGAUAAUAAAAAUUGAAGAGCUUUGAUUGGACUUUUUUUGGGGGGGAAGGGUGAAUGCGAGAGGACUGGUAAUGAAGACUGAAAAAAUAUCAUCUAGCAGAUGGAGAAAUAGCUGGACAGUAGUACAGCCAGAUGUUAUCCUGGAGUGCAUAGUCUGAAUAUUUUGAAUAACUGUUACAUACGUAAUUGGCAGACAGAGAACUGGAAGCCCUUCUUAUUUCUUUUUCUUUAGUUCUUUUAUAUCUUGCUUUUCUAUGACUUUCCUUUUUCAUUAUUUAUAUUUACAUUUUGUUUUGUAAUUUGAAGUUCUCUAUCUUGGAUUAAGGAAGAUACACAUAGGAAAGUGCUAGAUCACGGGUAGGUAAACUAAGGCCUGGAGCCUGGAUCCGGCCCAAUCACCUUCAAAUUCCGGCUUGCGGGAGGUCUGGGAAUCAGUGUGUUUUACAUGAGUAGAAUGUGCCCUUUUAUUUAAAAUGCAUCUCUGGGUUAUUUGUGGGGCAUAGGAAUUCGUUCAUUCCCCCCCCCCCAAAUAUAGUCCGGCCCCCCACAAGGUGUGAGGGACAUUGGACCGGCCCCCUGCUGAAAAAGUUUGCUGACCCCUGUGCUAGAUUGAAGAUGAAAGCCCCUGUGUGAAGGGCAGGGCGGAGAGGAUCUCCUAGAGUGGGAGGCUAGGGGGAAGAGGGGGAAGCUCCCAAGUGGGAGCUGGGAAGGUUCACUCUUCUGUGUGUGGAAUAAGGGUUAAGAUUUCGUUUUAAUAAAUCUGAUAGAGAGCUUUAUAAUUUCCUUUUAUUCUUCUCUUAUUUUCUUCUUCAUUUCAUUUCAUUUCAUUUCAUUUCCCUAUUCCUUCUUUUUAUCUUUAUUUUCUAGAUUAGUGUGACUUGACUAUUGUAUUUUAUGUUGAAAACUGUUAGUAAAAAAGUAUUGAAAAAAGCAAAAUGAAACAUCUGAAGGGCACCAGGCUAUCAAAGGCUGGACAAGAGAAAUAAAGAAUUGAUUGAAACAACUUUAUUUUCGAGGACCUCUCAGGAAAAGUUGUGAAACAACUUCUAGGUUUAGGGAAUAACCUGGAUCGUGUGCCUUUAAGGCAAGUUGUAAAAAUUACCAACUUCGUAAUACUAAGGGAAUCUCCAAAUUAAAAUUUUAUAUCAUUACAUGGAUUAGAUGGUGCACUUCAAUUCAAUAUAAUCAGAUAGCAGUCCAAUAGUAGAAUUCUACACAAGCCAUUUAAAUAUUUUAAAAUUUUAUUUAUUUAAGGUGAGAGCUUUUUAUUUUUCUGUUAUUAGCAGCAUUGGCAGUGGAAUCACACCACCGAACUAGUUGUGCUGUUUUGCAAAUGAAUAAAAAUAAAAAUAAAACAAACUCUUGUUUCAUAAUUUUUUUGUAAAAUAUUCCAAAGUACUGUUUCUCGUUCUACGCCACCAUGAUAUGAGCAGGAAACAAUUUCAGAAACACAGAAUCAACAACAUCUAGGUGGAAUCUUCCAGUGGAAGAGGAUUCUCUUACUAAUUUUUUUCCUGUAAGUUGCCCCUAUGUCAGGAAUGGGCAGGAGCCUGAGGAGUGGGGAGAGGAGACAGGUUGUGGGCAGAGGAGACAGGUUGGGAGGAGGGUGUUUUGGGAAAGGGGUCAGUAGUUUGUGGAGUUCUGUGCCACCGUUGCAGCAGCUGCCAGUAGUGGAGAAAUGGGGUUAGGAGCAGGAGACCGGGUGGCCAGAGACAGGGGGAAGGAAACAAGAGAAGAACUGUAGGACGUUCCACGGCCACGAGAGCAUGCAGAACUCCAAGAUAGAGUCAUGUCUGUGGAAUCCCGCAGGUCACCCCCUCAAUUGUUGCCUGGUGUUUGAGCGUAACAUGUCAGCCAAGGGAGUCUGGAGUGGGUGGAGCUAGGCUGUUGCUCCAACCAUCCAAGAUAGGACACAGGUCAGGUGAGAGGUUGCCUAGAUAGCUAGUUAGUGGGGAGUGAUGUUGUAUAACACCUGCACAUUGGGAAGUGAUGUAACUGAGCACUUCACCAAUUGUUGCUGUUGUUUAGUCGUUUAGUCGUGUCCGACUCUUCGUGAGCCCAUGGACCAGAGCACGCCAGGCACUCCUGUCUUCCACUGCUUCCCGCAGUUUGGUCAGGCUCAUGUUUGUAGCUUCGAGAACACUGUCCAACCAUCUCAUCCUCUGUUGUCCCCUUCUCCUUGUGCCCUCCAUCUUUCCCAACAUCAGGGUCUUUUCCAGGGAGUCUUCUCUUCUCAUGAGGUGGCCAAAGUAUUGGAGCCUCAACUUCACCAUCUGUCCUUCCAGUGAGCACUCAGGGCUGAUUUCCUUAAGAAUGGAUACGUUUGAUCUUCUUGCAGUCCAUGGGACUCUCAAGAGUCUCCUCCAGCACCAUAAUUCAAAAGCAUUAAUUCUUCGGCGAUCAGCCUUCUUGAUGGUCCAGCUCUCACUUCCAUACAUCACUACUGGGAAAACCAUGGCUUUAACUAUACGGACCUUUGUUGGCAAGGUGAUGUCUCUGCUUUUUAAGAUGCUGUCUAGGUUUGCCAUCACCUUUCUCCCAAGGAGCAGGCGUCUUUUAAUUUCGUGACUGCUGUCACCAUUCCGUGACUGCUUCACCAAUAAAGAACUGGAAAUCCAGUCACUUGUCCUGGUUGGUCUGGGUAUGAAUCUGAACACCCAGACACACAACUAAAUGCAUUAAAAACCUAAUUUGCUGGAUUGGCAGAAGGGAUUGCCAAACUCUCUGUGAUAUGCAGAUAUUGAGCCCAGUUUUGCAGAAGUCCAGAACAGUUCCUAAAGAUGUAAAAUAGGGAUAGAAACAGAGUAUUCUGACUUAUACUAUAUAUUGUGGCCAAAAACAAAGACAAGCACCAUCUUAUGCUUUAAAUAUAUCCUAACUGUUGAAAUACAGUGGUACCUCGGGUUACAUAUGCUUCAGGUUACAUACACUUCAGGUUACAAACUCCACUAACCCAGAAAUAGUACCUUGGGUUAAGAACUUUGCCUCAGGAUGAGAACAGAAAUCGUGCUGCGGCGGCAUGGCAGCAAUGGGAGGCCCCAUUAGCUAAAGUGGUGCUUCAGGUUAAGAACAGUUUCAGGUUAAGAACGGACCUCCAGAACGAAUUAAGUACUUAACCCGAGGUACCACUGUAAUAGAAUCAUACAAUCAUAGAAUUGUAGAGUUGGAAGUCGAUCCCCUGCAAUGCAGGAAUCACACCUAAAGAAUCCCUGACAGGUGGUCACCCAACCUUUGUUUAAAAACCUCCAACGAAGGAGAGUCCACCAAUUUCCAAGGUAGUCAAACAGCUCUUACUGUCAGAAAGAUCUUCCUAACGUUUAGUCAGAAUCUCCUUUCUUGUCAUUUGAAUCCACUGGUUUGAGACCUAUUCUCAGGAACAGCAGAAUAGAGCACUGCUAUUCCUUCCCUCGAUCUGGACACUACUUCUGUUAAAGCAGUCUACAAUAGCAUUGGCCUCUUUUGUUGCUGCAUCACACUGCUGACUCAGAAUCACAUUUGCUACUAUGCUUGCUUUUAUAUCAGACCCUGGCCACCUCUAGAAUGCAGCCCCUGAAAAGUUGUCUGCAGGGAAUAGAGACAUUGGCCUGAAAAGGUUUCUACAGUCCUGCCUUGGGGUUUCAGCCAGGAGUCUUUCCAAGACCUACCUGCACAUUUUAUGGACUGAACUUCGAACCUUUUGCAUGCAAAUCAGCUGUACUGCCAUACUACCAAUGAGCUACAGCCCUGCAUUGGACAGAGCCCAAGGCCUUAGUAUCUUCUUCAAGUUGAAAAAGCUUCACAGGCUCGCCCUCACUCUCAGAUGCCUCCUCCCCUCCCUCCUCCUCCUCUCCCUUUCAAUCCAAGUUUUGAAGUAAUUGCUUUCAGCUCGUCGUGUGCCAGAUGUCACCACCGUUAGACAUUCAAUCUGUAACAAUGAGGGAGACAUUAAAAAAAAAAAAAACCACCAGUGACUAUUAAAUAUUUAUCAAGAUUAUCUUGCUGACCUUUAUUUUUAUAACUGUUUGCACACUCACGAGGUGCUGGCAAGAGAGAUAGAGAGAGAAGGAAAUAGCUUCAAAUGCACCCACGCCUGUUUUCUGCUCUCCAUGGUCCCUUUUCCCUUUCCUCUUUCUGAAUCCUCCUACUGUUGAGUAUGGAAAAAAUCCCACCAGGCUGACAACUUGGCAACAUCAGAACAGGCUGUACACUAAAUGGGAAAGAGCAUUAAUUACUACUAUUACUUUUAGUGAGAACAUAUUGCAGUAGCAGAGGGAGGAGGCAUCGUGUCAGAAUUCUCUGUAGGCCUUGAAGAGGCAACAUUGCGGUCAGCAAAGCAGGCAGAAGUUUCCUGCUUCUCCCAGAUGUUUGGUCCCCCCCCCCCUUGAUGUGCCCUUGAAAUAAAGUUCAUCCUCCCACCCCAUAGCAAAAUCCUGCUGUGUUUAAAUUGGGGCGCUCUGCCUCUCUUCUCUGUGCAUUAAGACUUAAAACUGAGAGAGAACUGGAGAGAUUUAAGUUGACCCCUCCCCCUGCUUCUUUCUGGUUUGACCGUCAUACCUAAUUGAAUUGCUUUCAGUCACUGCCAGACUUUGAUGACUGCCUUAAGAAUAAGGCUGGCAAAGUAACAGAGAAUGACAGCUGUUUUUUGCAGCUGGUUCUAAACUAUGGAACAGGUCAAUGGGCAAAAAUGAACUGGAGCUUGAAAACAAGGAAAGCAUAAAUUUAACUCUUGGCUGUGCACUGCCUGACAGGAAACUUGCACAGUCUCUCUCUCUCUCUCUCUCUCUCUCUCUCUCUUACAUACACACACACACACACACACACACACCCCAGUUGGUUAGGUCCCAGAGAGAUCUGUGGAUAAGAGCAGUCCUUUUCAGAUGUGUUGCCAAUACUCGCUUCCAGUAGCACUUCAUGAAGGAGAAAUUCAAUUCAAGGCAAAAAUUGUCUAAUUCACACUUUCCAAAGCACAACCAUUCCUUCAAAAUUUGCACUUCUUUAAUUUUUUCGAUGCAGUUCUCCAGCAAAGCAAUGUGCACAAGGGUAAAGUGUACACAAAAAUACAUAUAUACAUGAAAACAACAUAUGAAAAUGAAUUAUUUAUGGGGAAAUUGCUUUGCAAAAGAAAAGUGGACAUGCUGGGAGGAAUUUACAUGAAAAUGCUUUAAUAAAGAUAAUUCACAAACUGACAUGUAAAUGUGAAUUUAAGAUUAGAAAAAAUGAGUUACUGAGCCAGGGUGCGGGGCUGUGGGGAGCAGGGGGCGGUCAUGUUGGUGCUUCCCAUUCAUACAGUCCAUUUCAUGUUCCAUGUCUUGCAGGCUCUUUUCCUUCUUGCCUGGGAAGGUGGGUCCCUGACUGAUUCUAGCUACAAAAGCUGAUGCAAAAGUAGAGCAGACUAUUGGGCUGAGGUACUGUUUGGUGGGUGGGAGGGAAGCAUUCUUACAUUUAUUGAUAUUAACUUUUGUAUAUUUAUUUUAGAUAUUAAGAUUUAUGUGGAAAUUGUUCAGUUUGGUUGUGUACUUUUUGAUGUGUUUUAUUUAUUGUUUAUGACUACUUUUGUUAUGCUUGUAAUUAUGUAAUUUGUUCAUGUUACAAGCUGCCAUGAGCAUGGUUUUAACUAUGGAAAGGUGGCAUACAAAUAAAAUUGUGUGUGUGUAUGUAUUCAUAUAUGUAUGUAUUUAACCUCUCCUCAAAACAAAUUGGAAUGAAUACUCAUUAAAUAGCUAGUGUCAUCCAAUGUCUCAAAAUGGCACUGCAAAAACACACAACACAUAAAACUGGGUGGUAGUGUGGAAGACAGUGGAGAAUUGCAGUGAAAACUGGAAGAACAGUCAAAGUAGUGGCAAUGGGCCCUUCAAGCAUGCUGAGCUUUAGAUGUUGCCUGACGAUAAGGACUUAAGAACAUAAGAAAGGGUCUGCUCGAUCAGGCCAAUGCCAUCCUGUUCUCACAGUGGCAAGUCACAUGUCCUUGGAAAACCCCAAAGCAGAACCAGAGUGCAACAGCAAUCUCCCUGCUUGUCAGUCUCAGUAACUGCUAUUCCGAGGCAUACUGUUUCUGGUAGUGGAGCUAGAACAUUGCCAUAAUGGCUAAUAGUCACUGAUAAACUUAUCCUCCAUGGAUGGUACCAUCUUUCCCCGAAAGUAAGACAUCCCCCGAAAAUAAGACCUACUUCCAGUUUUGCCUCUCAAUGUAAUAUAAGCCCCCCCUGGAAUAUAAGGCCCCCGAAGCUACCGUAAGGCAACUGACUCCUUUAGACCGUAGCGGUGGGCGCCGCCACGCAGCUCACUGAUUGGCCGCAGCGCAGCCAGAGCUGUUCAGGCAGUGCGAGGUCUCUUUAAAUCAGAGAGCCCGCACCACCGCCAGGACAAGCUGCCACCUGCUGCUCGCUCUGCCCUGACGGAGUCUGGUUAACUCACAAUUAGACAAUAAAUGUGUACCGUAUUCUUCUUCAUGGAAAAAUAAUACAUCCCUAGGGCAUCUUUGGGAGCAAAAACUAAUAUAAGACACUGUCGUAUUUUCGGGGAAACAGGGUAGGAUGACAUCCUUUAAAGUCAGUUCAGGCCACUUGGGGACUUGAAGGGUGAGCUGUGGUCUUCCAAAAAUUCUACAGCAAAGCAAAUUAUUUUCCUCCAAGCAUUAUAGGCAUAGCACUGUGGCCAUCCAAAUACGUUUGCUAAAUCUGAAGGGAGGUGAAGAACACGCAGGAUCUUUUAGCAAUACCAGCUCCCUCCUACUUUGGAGAAGAGCUAUAGCUUAGUGGUAAAGCAUGUCUUGUGCAUGCAGUAGGUCCCAUGUUCUAUUCUUGAUAUAUCCAGGUAUAGCUGUGGAUGUAGAUGACCUGAAACCUUGGAAAGCCCCUGCCAGCCAGUGCAGGUAAUACUAAGUUAGAUGGACAGUACAAGGCAGCAUCCUAUGCUCUUCCUUCCUUCCUUCCUUCCUUCCUUUCCUUUCCUUUCUUUUUUCCAAUAAUGUUUAUUAAGUUUCUUGCAAAUAUAACACAUACUGAAAAACAAAUAAAAAAUAAAAUAAAAAGAGAAAUGAAACAAAUAAAGCAAAUAACAACAAAAGAUAUAACAACAAACACAUAAAUACAAUACAAAUUAAUAAUUGAUUAAACUUCCAACCUCAUAAACAUAUUACUUGACUUCCUCUAAUCCCUCCCAUCUGAAUUUCCUUGUAACGUAAUGUAGCAGUUUUCCAAUAUCAUUAUUCAAAAACAAUAUUCCAAUUAUAGUCAAGUUUCUUAACUUUUCUUAACCUUCUAAAUCUCAUUUAUUUAAUUAAAUCCUAAUUUAAUCCUAGGCCUAAUUGAUACUUUCAGGUAACUUCUAAUUUUUAAUGUUACAAUAUUUAUUCAAAUACUCUUUAAAUUUCUUCCAAUCUUCUUGAUAUUCCUCUUCUUUCUGGUCAGGAUUCUUCCAGUGCAGUCAGCUAGCUCCUUGAAGUCCACGAUCUUCAUCUGCCAUUCUUCCACAGUUGGUAAUUUUUGUGUUUUCCAUUUCUUGGCUAUUAAAAUUCGAGCAGCAGUUGUGGCAUACAAAAAUAAUUUAACAUCUUUCUUGGGCAAUUCCAAACCUAUUAUUCCAAGAAGAAAGGCCUCUGGUUUCUUAAUAAAUGUAUAUUUCAACAUUUUUUUCAGUUCAUUAUAAAUCUUCUCCCAGAAGUCUUUCACCUUGGGACAAGUCCACCACAUAUGGAAAAAAGGUACCUUCUUUUUCUUUACAUUUCCAACAAAGGUUAACACUGCUGCGAUAAAUCUUUGCUAGUUUUACGGGGGUUAAGUACCAUCUAUACAUCAUCUUCAUAAUAUUUUCCUUUAACAUCCAUCCUUCCUUUCCUGACUGGAUGAUUUUAAGGAGAGGACCCUCCUCUAAACCAAGCAUCCCCAAACUCGGCCCUCCAGAUGUUUUGGGACAACAACAUCAUCCCUAGCUAACAGGACCAGUGGUCAGGGAUGAUGGGAACUGUAGUCCCAAAACAUCUGAAGGGAUGAGUUUGCCUAUGCCUGCUCUAAACCUUCAAUCUCACUCAGAUUGUUGUAGCCAAGAAGCUCCAUUCCAGCUGUGUGAAUGCACUUCAAUUUUAAAAUUUAAUGUUGUAAAUUUGUUUUUAUGUUGUAAACGCUAUGGGCUACAUUGUAUGAUAUUAGAGGAAAUUUUCUUUUUAUUCUGUGUUGUCCAUUGUAAAGGCCUUUGGCUAUAUAUAAUAAUACUGACCAGAUCACUCGGGUUGUGCUCACUAUGUUAAACUUUCUAGCGGUGGGCCUUAAAUGAUUGAAUACUUCUCCACAACCACACAUAAAAAUACAAUGAAAACUAUACACUCUUCCAGCAUGACAUGGAGAAAGCUAAAUGGAUCCCUUCUCCCUAACAUGCUAGUGUCUACACGGAGGGAUUUUUGUUGUUGUUUUAGUGUUCACUUUUGACAAUGUUCACUUUUGACAAUACGAAGAAAUGCGUUUGGUUGUAUGCAUGGAAGGUCACUUGACUUGAGGGCUCCAUCCAAGAUCAAGGUCAAGCUUGAGACUCACAGGGAAAAUCCAGCAGUGUUGGUUCAAGAGUUUAAAGACCCAGCGUGCUUGUAGGACCUUGGAAGUCUCCCAGGAUUCUUCUAUGAUAAUGUAAGCAGGUACCUAGCUCCAAAUGAGGUCUUAUAUAUUUUGGCAGAACUAUAGUGCAGUAAGCCCCACCUUCCCAGAGGAGCUUGUCGGCUAUUAAAGGCACCUUUGCCUUAUUCUGCUGUCUUGGAAUUUGCAGGACUGAAGAGAAAAAGACACUGCAAAAGGCUCCUCUGAAUCAGAGGAGAGAGGCAACACUAUUCUGGCUCUGAGGGUUCUGAAAAUGGUCCUGACAGAUCCUCCCCCAAGGAUAGAACUGUAGAUUCAUCCUCCUCUGAGUCAGUUACACAGUUCAUGUUCUCUGGGUUGUAUGCCAUGACACUGGGACAGAAAUCCCAUGAUAAAUUUCUAUCCUAAAGCCCAUGUUGAAUGGGCACUCCAGUGCACAGAUCCUAAAACACAAGGAAAAAUGGGAUGCAUACACACACUGUGUACAAGAAUGUUGUAUGCUGCAGAAGUGGUUAGUGGUGGGUUAGAGGGCUUGGGAUAUAGAGAAAAUUUAGUAGUAGGGGAUCAGUUCAAAAAAGUUUGAGAAAUGAUGAGUUAGGUGUUUGGUGCAAAUGUUAAACAUAGUGGGCCUGAGUCUUAUUAUUUGAUGCAGCCAUUUUUUCCUGUGCAGUGGCAGACCAGGAAUCAGUAAUCGAAAAAGGGCUGCUGCUGAAAUCAAUUGCAAAAGCCAUUAAGCAUAUAUAUAUAUAUAUACACACACAGCAAACUCCAGCUGACGCCAUUCAUUCCUUCUCCUCAACAGCUUGUUGUUCUAUUGGCUCUGAUUGUCUGGUUGGGACUCUAUAUCCGGAAGAUCCAUUGGCUGCACUCAGGCAUGACAAAACCAGUCACCUGUUAAAUUUAGAUUUCUUGAAUCUGCCAACAGCCUGACACAUUGAUAAACAGCCGCGGUUUUUAGAAAAGGUUGGGAAAGCUCGCUCACUCUCCGUUAAUUGCUUUGUGGUACUGAACCAUAAAAACAGCAUUGACUCAGUUCUGAGCAAUCUCCCCAUAACACAGGGGAAUGGUGGCUCCUCAUAACAAGACGAAGGGCUCUCCAUCACUCUCCAGACGGUGGGGUCACCUGACCCUUUGAAAAACAAAGGCAGUUCAAAUUUACUGCCAGCACAGCUGCUGUGUCAAGAGAAAGGAGGAGCAAUGGCCACCAGGCCACUGUUAACAAAGAAAUAGACUUUCCAGAUGGUGACUACCAGUCCAUCCCAUGAUCCAUGAGAAAGAAGAGGUGACUACAGGAAGUAUUCACUACAUUUAUGAGAUAGUUAGAAGGCAGAUUAGGCUUUUGAGAGGCCUUAUGGAGUGAUGGGGUGAUGUAACUUAACAGGUAGAAACAUAGAAUCGUAGAGUUGGAAGAAGAGGAGUUUGGAUUUGAUAUCCCGCUUUAUCACUACCCUAAGGAGUCUCAAAGCGGCUAACAUCCUCCUUUCCCUUCCUCCCCCACAACAAACACUCUGUAAGGUGAGUGGGGCUGAGAGACUUCAAAGAAGUGUGACUGGCCCAAGGUCACCCAGCAGCUGCAUGUGGAGGAGUGGAGACACGAACCCGGUUCCCCAGAUUACGAGUCCACCACUCUUAACCACUACACCACACUGGCUCUACUUUGGGAAGGGACCCAAAAGGUCAUCUAUUCAAACCUCCUGCAGGGAAUCUCAGCUAACGCAUCCAUGGCAGAUAGCCAUCCAAGCUUUGUUUAAAAUCCUUCAAGGAAGGAGAGUCCACAACUUCCCGAGGGAGACCAUUCGCUGUCGAACAGCUCUUACUGUCAGAAAGUUUUUCCUGGUAUGUUUAGUCUACUUCCUUGUAACCUGAAGCCAUUGUUUUGAGUCCCACCCCCCAGAGCAGGAGAAAAUAAGCUUGUUCCUUCUUUCAUGUGACCACCCUUCAGAUAUUUGAAGAUGGCUAUCAUAUCUCCUCUCAGUCUCCUCUUUGUCAGACUAAACAUACCCAGCUUCUUCAACAACUCCUCUUAAGGCUUGGUUUCCAGACCCAUGAUUACCUUGGUUGUCCUCCUUUGCACAUGUUCCAAAUUGUCAACAUCCUUCUUAAACUGUAGUGCCCAGAAUUGGACACAAUAUUCCAGGUGUGGUCUAACCAAGGCAUAAUAGAGUGGUACUAUUACUUCCUUGAAGGGACGCGGAUGGUGCUGUGGCCAAACCACUGAGCCUCUUGGGCUUGCAAUCGAAAAGUUGGUAGUUCGAAUCCACGUGACAGGGUGAGCUCCCAUUGCUAUGUCCCAGCUUCUGCCAACCUAGCAGUUUGAAAGCACACCAGUGCAAGUAGAUAAAUAGGUACUGCUGCGGCAGGAAGGUAAAUGGUGUUUCCGUGUGCUCUGGCUUCUGUCACAGUGUUUCGUUGUGCCGGAAGUGAUUUAGUCAUGCUGACCACAUGACCCAGAAAGCUGUCUGUGGACAAACACAGGCUCCCUCGGCCUGAAACGAGAUGAGUGUCACACCGCAAAACCACCUUUGACUGGACUUAACUGUCUAGGGGUCAUUUACCUUUUAAAAAAUUUAUUACAUCCCUUGAUCUAGAUGCUAUACUUCAGUUGAAGCACCCUAGAAUACUCAUAUUAAGCUUGUGGUCUACUAUGACCCCUAGAUCCUUUUCACAUGUACUGCUAGUAAGCAAGGUGUCCCUCAUCUUAUAUUUGUGCAUCUGAUUCUUCCUGCCUAAGUGCAGAACCUUACAUUUGUCCCUAUUGAGAUUCAUUUUAUUAGCUUGUGCCCAAUUCUCCAAUCUGUUAAGGUCGUUUUGAAUUCUGAUUCUGUUUGGAUAGGGAAUGAGGGGGAAGUAGCUGGUGGCUCUAACCACACCUUUCUUGUCUGUUUGUCAGUGAGGACAAGAUUGAACUAUACAUGCAGCAGAAUGAGAUGGUCUAAUCCUGAGCAGGAAGGGUAGGCCAUAUCACUUCAUAUUGUUGGCCCGGAAGGCCUGGGAACAUGGAACACCAUUCCCCUACCCACUGUAUUACAAUACCCUUCUGCAAUUAAAAGUCAAACACACCAGAAAGUAAUGCUAUAGCCUAGAACCAGAAGUCUGUCUGACCACCUCAUUUUGUUGCAUACUCUCCCAGUGUCCCUAUUUUCCAGAGUCAGUCACAGAAUUAUGGAAGCCAUCCCAGCUUCUGAUUUGAUAGUGGAAUGUCCCUAUUUCCAACACCAGUGAGCUCAGGGAGGGGGAUGAGCUAGCGCUUGUCCUGAGCAGCAACAUUUGUGGCAGUGGCAACUCUGAAGGAGCAUCGCAUUGCCUCUACAUGGCUGCUGCUGUUGGCCUCCUCCCAUGGUCAGCUUGUAGCAGCUGCUAGAGAGCAGGUGAGGAGGAGGAGAGGCUGCCACCACCUGGGGGGGGGGGGAGACCAAAAAUGGGGGGGGGGGGUUGAAGAUUCUCAGUUGCGGAAUGAAAAAUGUCAAUAUUUUCAUCUGACCAAAACUGCUGGGCAUGUUGUUGCAUGUGUAGAUUAAGUCUCAGAGCCUGGCUCGCUGAUUUCUUCUGGAGAUGGACCAUGAGACUUGUUGCUUGUGAAGUCACAGAAUAUGAGUGUGGAAACAAUACAGUUUAAUAUUCUAAUCCAGCUUGCUUGCAUAGACAGUUGAAAAGUCUUGGGUUGAUUAAGUUGGUCAGUCAUGAAAAUGUGCUGAUGAUAAAGCACAGCCUGAACCCAAAUGGACCAUUUAUCAAUGUGAUACAGACUUUUUGCAAAAAGUGAACAAGUGACAAGGAGAGUGUACUUAGUGGCAAUGCACUGAUUCAUUACCCCUUAGGGAGUUUGCCAAAGUUACCUGCUAUUCAACAAAGAGAUUCAAACGUUUUGAAGGCAGUUCGAGGGAGGUCUGUUGCUCAGUUGUAAAACAUCUGCUUUGCAUGCAGAACACCCCAGGCUAAAUCCCUGGCAUCUAUAACUAGGGUUGGGAUAGACCCCUGCCUGGAAUCCUGGAGAGCCACCGCCAGCAUACACUAGGAAUGGGAACUUCCGGCCCUUUAAAUGUCACAGCACAACAAUCCCCACCAGCCUCAUCCAACACGCCCAAUGGAAGUUGAAGUCCAUCAUCAUCUAGUGGUCCACAGGAUUCCCACCCAUGUUGUAGACACCAGUGAGCAAGAGGGACCAAUAAUAUGCUUCACUAUAAAGCAGAAUCCUAUGCACCUAGUGGUAGAUAAACAAUCAGACCAAGGUGAGAGAUAGUAAUAACAAUUGGUUAUUGUUAGGGUUGAUGCAUACCUAAAAGCACAUCACUCAGCAUCUGAUCACACCAAAACUUCCCACACAUUGAUUCCCUAAGAGGAGGGGUGCCAAUUUAAAUAAAAUAUGGGGGGGGGCAAGUAAGCCCCAUCCUGCAUAAUCAAUCACAGAAUGUGAUGCACAUAUGCUGUUUGAAUGGCAAUGCCCAUGAGCUAUUCAGCUGCAAUUUUAAGGGAUGAUGGUGUUGUCUCACAUGUGCACUCCCAGUUGUUGAUGAUAUUGUGGUACUGUAGUAUCAGCCUGUGUUGUUCUGCCCAAUAUUUGUGAGUUAAAGGGUUACUCACUGGGUGCCGUUGACUGUAUAGUAACUGAAAUUAUUCCUUCCUCACAUGCAGAGGAGUAUUGACCAUGUUGAAACAGGACUGCAACAGGGUUCUGCAACAUAUUACUGGUAGUUCUGUCUUCAUACGAUUUUCAGCAGAUGAUGCUCAGAAGGCACAAAAUGCAAGGACCUUGCAGAAACUUCAGAGAAUGGUAGGACUGAGCAUUUGCUGGGUCCCCUAAGUAGCCAAACAAUGCACUGCAUAGGGCACUUUAGGAAGAGACUUUAGAAGACAAUUCCCAUUCUCCACGCCUCCUUCUUUUGUAGGUUAAGGAGGCCCAAUGAGGAUACCUCAGCAGGCCCCACCCCACGCCAGCACAAUAUACAGCCCUUAAUAAUGCACUGGACUUACUACCCCAGUUAAGAGCAAAAACAUUUCAGCUUACCAAUGCCUUAUUUCUGCUCUUGCAAAAAGGAUUGGUAACAGAAGCGGAAGUUUACUUACUUAAUGCCUGAAAUCUUAGUCUUCAGGCAGGAUUUAAAAGUUGGUGAAUUAUUUUUAUUGGUGUUUUUUUUUAAUUCUUGAAAUAGAAUGGAUGUUUGGUUGUUCAUAUAUGAUGCUAGUACUGAAAAUAAAUUGAACUUUAAAGUGGUAAAAAAAUAACUUUGGGAUAACUCAGAUAUUAUAUUGGUGGGGGCAAAGGGACCUCGGUCCCCCAGAGCUGGCUCCUAUGAUGGAGAGAUUUCAUGGUUCAGUGGCAGAGCACAUGCUUUGCAUACAGAAAGUGUGGUAUAAUUAACCUCAUAUAACCUACAUUAUAAAGUCAGAUGGAUGCAUCAAGGGGUUAAUGCCAUAGAGUAAGCUCUCCUGCAAGGCUUAGCUGGAUCCCUCCCCCUCACCUAGCAAAAAAAGUAAUCAAACAUUUUGUUCUCCUCUCUGUCUACCCGAGAAGCUCAGUGUGUAAAGAGGUCUGAGCUGGUUACUUCAAGCUUAGACUGCAUGGCUCUUACAAGCACUUAUUGUGUUCUUAUACCAAUAAUUUAGGAACUUUCAUGACUAUAAGCCAAGUUUUACUGCCUGUGUUUUCUGACUGAAAAGCACAUGAACCUGACCUUUGGAGAGUUUGUAAGCUACGGUAACCAUUUUUUAACUUAAUAGAUGUGGGGUCUUUUUCUAUGUUGAGGGAAGAGGGAAGUUUUGGAACUGACAAUGACAUAUUUUAAAGGCCCAACAGCCUAUAUUUCCAUGUUUUACCUUGCUGCAUAUUUUGUGAUUUUUAAAUCUCUGCUGGGGUUCUCUCACUAAAGAGUAUUUGUCCCAAACUUGGAUCUUGGCAUUCAGGGAAUUCUGUUUUUAUAUCUUCUUCUCUCCCCCCCCCCCCUUGCCAUCAACAGCAAUUCAGUGGGGGUCACCACACAGUGGUAAUCUCAUCUGCUUGCAGAAGGUUCCAGAUUCAACUCCCAGUAUUACCAGGAUGAGCUGGGAAUGUCCCUGGUCUAUGCCCUUCAAUGUCCUUGAGCAUAAAAAGUUGGGUGGCCCCUGCCCUAGCUAGUGUGCUAAUUUACUGCUUUAAAGGAGGAGUUAUUGAUUUGGUAAAAUAUAUCACCACUCACUUGCAGUCUGAAACGGUACAGUCCAUUUUAUCUCCCUAGUAUUCUGCCACUGCAAUCCCAACUCAUUCUAGUCCAUGUGUAGUAGGGCAGGUUCUAUUUAGGCAAAUAUGCCUUUCCUUUAUCAAUUCCAUCUCUUGGGAAAAUCUUCCCUUUCCGUUCACCUCCUUGAUUUCUGUCACCUCUUGGCACCAGAGUCUAUAAUUCUCCAUCUCUCUCCACAUUGAUGGAUAGGAUUUUAAUCUCCCCUCUGUCCUCUCUGCCACUAUGCCAGGUCAAAGACUGUUUAAAGGCCCUGGCAAUUAAACCAGAUAAAUAAAAUCACAUUGCUUAUAAUUACUGGGGACAAUUUGGUUUAAUUAGAUGUUAAGCUAGCUCGCCUCUCUUCUUUACAGGCCCAGAUAAAUACCUGAACCUUACAUUGGAAGGCGG
Podarcis lilfordi (Lilford's wall lizard) is the source of this 17341-nucleotide non-coding RNA. The record is from the annotation of a GenBank genome assembly. Lineage: Eukaryota; Metazoa; Chordata; Lepidosauria; Squamata; Lacertidae.